ACGCCCUGGGCCCCCGCCCCAGGCCGCCCCUGGCCCGGGGAGCCCAAGGCCGCCCGCAGGGGCGUGGGCAGGGGGGCCCGGGACCCCAUGGGCGCGCUCCUGGGAGAGCUGCUCCCCUGCAAAUUCCGUGAGUUCCUGGCCCAGCUGCGGGCCAAGUGCUCAGAGGAGCCGGAGCUGCAGGCGCAGAGUAAGGCCAAUGCACACAAGCGGGGCCCUUCCCGGGUGGGGUGUCCCCAGGCCGUGGGGUCCCCACUCUGGAGCUCAGAGCCCUCCUCGAGGGUGGUCUGCCAUGCCCCUGAACGGGUCAGUAAGGCACCCAGGGUAAGGACUGAUCCCCAACUCCCAGCUAACUCCUCCUCCUCCUGGCUCCCAGCGCCCUCAGCUCCGAAACAUCAAAGUGGGGUGUCCGGGUCCUGGCGGGAUUCUCCACAGUGUCCCAGCUGCCAGUUCCUCCCAGACCUGAGGGACCAGUUGUCAGACUUCCAGGAGAGACUUGACAAGAUUUUGCGCUACCAGAAAUCUACCCUGGGACCCCUGAGGGGUGACUACUCAGAAUUCCCCACAGUCAAAAAGGACAGCCCGUUCUGUGGCACACCGGGCCCCGAGGCCAUGCCCACCCCCACCCUCUCCAGGGGAGGCCUGGGGCCCCGAAGGCGCAGCUGCCCUUUCCGGGUGCGGUUUGCGGACGAGUCACUCAGGGACAGCGCGCUGCGCUACUGGGAACGUCGCUGUGCAGUCCAGCAGAACAUGACAGCCACCCCGCCAGCAGAGUCGGUGCCCAGGAUGGGGUUGGGGAGCCUCGGGAGGUGGCCGGACAGUUUGCCCAAAGCCGAGUCUCCCCGGGUCAAGGAAGAUGCCACGGCCAGCUCCGCAUGCUGGGCCCACCCUGGCCUGGUCACUGCAGUGAGGCUGUGGAGGGACCUCCCGGGCCUUCUGGACACCUGCAGCUUCCUGGAGCAGGUGGGCCGAUCACCCUCCUCCUGGAGCCAGAAGCCGGAACCCUUUCUGCCCGACCUGGUGCUGCAGUCAGUCUUGAAGCAUGGCUACCCUAAGGGCUACUAGCUUCUGUCUUCCACAACUCUGACUGCUCAUGGGUGCCCCAGCUGAGGGCUGCAUGCCGGCCAGGCAGUGAGGGUGUCCUGCCUCAGCCUACUAAUAAACACAUAUCCCAGGUGGCUGGGAUCUGCUGUUAGGUCUCACAUACAGUGCAAGCCUGCCUUGGGGGGUCUCCGGGGAUUCCUGGGGUGGAGGAGGAACAGCUGGGCCUGCCUAGGGCCUAUGCCAGGUCCUCCCUUCUGAUAUGAUACCCUGCACAACCUCCGACCUGGCACUGUGCAUCUGUCCGCUCAGAUCAGCCCAUACCUGAAGGAGGUGCCUGCCGUGCGGGGGGCCCGGGAAUGGUGAACUGUGCCCCCACCCCUGCCACACCUGUGCUGUGAUCCCUGGACAAAGUGGGCCCCCUCCUCACUGUCACUGGCGCCCAUCCCGGGCCGCUGGUCCAGCUCUUUAUCGCCACCCCCUGGCCAGGGAGGACACAGCCAGGGAAUCACGCAGGCACCUGGCUGGGCAGAAGCCUGGGUCACUCCAGGUGGCCGGGGCUGGACAGCGAUUGGUGGUGACCUUGGGCUGUGGAUGACCGAGGCUUUUUUGGAGUGGCGCCCUGGCUCCAGAAGAAAGGCGGUUGGUAGGCCGAGAAACGGUUUGGACAAAGCCAGCUUGGGGAGGGCUGGGAGCAGCGCCACGACCGCCCCCGCAGGCACACAUGGGGGCUGGAGCGGGAAUCGACUCCCCCUUCCCCCGACCCUUUGGCAUCUCCCUCAUCUCCGUCUCCGGAGUUUCACGCCCCGCGCCCCCCAGCCCAGGCUAUUUCUGGGGGUCCCCGAGGAGACUGGAUUGUUCCACACCAACUCCUGGGGCCUUCGCCCCCCGCGUGCCUCAGUUUCCCCCGCCCGCUCGCCCACCGGCUGCAGCGCCGCACCGCGCCCACGCGGGGGCAGUGUUGGCCUGGCUUUGGCGUCGCCGAAACUUCUCUGCUUCCCGCUCCAGGUCAGAAACUUUUCCCUUCCCGCCCCCGCAUCCCCUCCGCCGCGGGCUCCUGCACCUGCGCUGGCCGCGGCUGCACCUAGGAGAUCUGGGCGAACUUAUUGGUCGCUAUGCAACCCCCCAAGUGCACAGCCUUCGGGGCCCCACGCGCCCCGAGCCCGCAGGUCCCCCGCUCGCCGCGGAGGCUGUGACCAAAGGACGCCGAGCGCAGGAUCUACGCGCGGAUACCGCGCGCCACACCCGCCACACGGAGAGACACACACGACGACGCACACACAGACACCCCCAGACCCCUUCACAGACACCACGGCUCGGAACACAUCGCACCCCCAGUCCUGCCCUGUACCACUCACAGUCGGGGACCCCAGCCCCACGUUGGGGAUCCCUGCUUGCCUGGAAGACGCAAGCGCGUCCUUCAUGGCCCUCCGUAGUGCCUGUCCAUCACCAAGGUGACGCCCGCUGCGAGCAGAGCUGCAUCUGCCUGCGGAAGGGGGUGCGGAGGGAGCGAGCGCGCCAAGAGGCGGCCCCUCCUUGCCACCCAGCCCCGGGCCGCUCCAGGGCGUGAACAAGGCCCAGGGAGGCCCGGCUCUUUCUGAAGGUCACAGGCACGGAGUGUUGGAAUCGGCCUCCAGCUCUGCACUUCUGCCCCGGAGGCAGUGCCGUGGAGCUCCCUCCCGCAAGGUGACCUGCGGGGCAGGCUCUGGGGGACCCCCCUGCACACGUGAGCGCAGGGCAGAGAGAAUGCGGGGAGGUCAGCGGGAAAGGAGGACUUAUUUGGAGCACGUGGAAUUUGGGGAGACUGCGGCAGGCGGGCGGGGCAGCAGGAGAAAGGGCAGGGGGCAGAAGCCUGCAGGUGUCCCAGGAGGGCAGGCGGCCCUGGCCGGAAGUGCGCCGGGCACGCGGAGCGCCCCUCACCGGAAGUGAGGGAGGCCUGCUGCUCGGCCUGCAGGGGGCGCCCUGGUGGGAGAGGGGGGACACAGGCAAGGGGAGCCCCUGAAGAUGUGGAACUCCAUGGAAGCCAGCCCACGCGGGAGAGCCACCCCAACACGCUGAUUGUUCCGUGCAGUUCCUAGGGGACUGUCCGGGUCGCCUCCCCCAUUGUACGCUGGGCCCUGACCCCGGUGACAGCGGCGGGUGGGGUCUGCAGGAGCCGAUUGGGUCAGGAGGGUGGGGCCCUCCCGAGUGGCAUUAGCGGCGUCUUAGCAGAGACCAGAGAGGGAGCAAGAUCUUUCUGCCGAAUGAGGACACAGCAGAUGGGAAGGGAAGGGAAGGGAGCUGACCACGGUUAUUCGUGCAGCCAACCUGGCGUUGCAGUCUCUCCGAGGACCACGCGGCGCUGAGGCGCGGGGCACGGGGGAGGCUGCAUCCCCACCCUGGACAGAUGGGCACGCCUGUCCCCUUUCCUUCGUUUCUGCCUCUCUGUCCUUCUGUCGCUGCCCCCGGGGAUGCCUAAGUGACAGGAGGUUGGCACUUUCCAUGGUGUGAGAGACACGUGCGUCGCCUCCCCCCAGCAACCCCACGAGCCUCCUGGUCCCCUAGUAGAAGCAGCUCCAGGGAUGGGGGAGACGGUUCAAGUCCACUGUAGCACGUGAGACACCCGGCACAGUGGGCUGGGGCUUCUACCACCACCCACGCUGUCCCCACCGUGGGAACCAGUGAGGGCAGGAGGGACCUGGGACCUGCCCUCCUGAGCUCAGGGUCCAGAGGGAAGGCACUGAGGAGCCAGGACAGAUGCCACCGGGCAAGCAGCGUGUGCCCGUGCUGGAGGACAGACGCUGCCCCUGCAGACGAAGCAAUCCGGGCGCAGAGAGGUGAAGUAACCUGGCCAGGGUUGCACAGUGAGCACCAGUUGGGAAGCCGAGGCAGGCGCUAUGAUGGGGACACAGGCGGACUCCAGGAAGGCGAUCGUGAUGUCUUUGGGCUCAGAGGGCUGGGCUCUCGGGCAAGCGCCAUCCACGCCUCCCUUUCUUCAUUCUGCAUUCCUACCCCAACAGGUUUGGUGGUUUUCUUUGUUUGUUUGUUUGUUUGUUUGUUUUUGGUACCGGGAAUCGAACUCCGGACCUCGCGCUUGCCAGGCAAGCGCUCGUGCUGCUGAGCUAUCUCCGCCCCCACCCCCCACCCCCGCUCCCGGUUUGGUUUUGUGCUCCUAGGGAUUGAACCCAAGACCUGUACAGUGAGCUAUAUCUCCAGCCCCCCGCCCCCCGCCCCCUUUUAUUUUGAGAUAAAGUCUUGCUAAGUGCCCAGAUUGGGCUGGAAUUUGCCACCCUCCUGCCUCAGCCUCCCAGAGUCCUGGGGUCACAGGCGUGCACCACCACGCCCGGUUUCAGAACACUUUUGGUGAGGGCCAGCGGUCUUGUCUGACUCUGCUGGACCCCACCUGUGAUCAAGGCAGCCAGCUUCCCAUCUUCCCCCUCCCCCACCACCACGUCGGAGGUAGAGAUGGGGCCAGCUGCACAGGCUGUGACCCCUGCAGACCCCCAGGGCCCUGUGCUGGCUCCUGCUCCGCUGUCUGAUUUGCAGCAGGUCCUGAACCAGCGGCCUGCGCUUCCAUUUUGCCCUGAGCCUGGCACCGUGCAGCUGGAUUCAACCGUGGCCGAUGCCCAGCGGGGGCCCCUGCGGAAGGCUGCCAGGAGUAGCCUUUGUCCGGCCUGUGCCCAAAACCUUGCCACCGUGGCCAGCAUCAGCCUGGAGGUCAGGGCCAGCAAAGGCCCCAGAAGCCUUUGGCAACACCUUGCCCCUAUUGCCACGAUUGCGCAUGCCUGCUAUGCCGCGUGGGCGGGGCAGGUAAGAAGCCCCGCCCACCUCCAGGCCCCGCCCACCCCGGGAACCCAGCUCCCCGGCUUCAGCACUCAAACCAGCAGGCGCGCGCUCGAGUGGAUUUUAUAUUUUCGUGUUGGUUUUACAUCAGCUCUGCAUUGUGCACGCUCUUCCCCGCUUGCUUCUCUCUCCACAAUCGAACCAUCAUAAAAGGCUCGUUCAAGGUCACUGAAUUGUGUAGGCGGAGGAACUGGGCCCAGGGUGUCUCAGGCCAAGGGCGGGUGUUCGCGACUCCUGUGCCCAUCGCCCGGCUGCGCGCGAGGCCGGGCGUCAGCUGGCUGAGCGCGCCUGGGCCGCGGCCACGGAGUCGCGUGGGGGCCUGAAGCAUUAUUUUCAAGGUGCGUUGUUUAUCCAGAGCGCGGCUCUGAAACCUGUUUUCUUCUCUCCCUAUCCCUGAGCAGAGAGCUGAUUUUGGAUACAAGAUGCGGGGUUGUCUCAGCCUUAAAAAUAAUCACCUCUGCAACCAGGCAUGGUGGUGCACCCCCGGUCAUCCCAGCGCCCUGUGAGGCUGAGGCAGGAGGGUCAGAAGUUUGAGCUCAGCCUGGGCAGUUUAGUAAGUCCGUGUCUCGAAAUAAAAAAGAAAUAAAGAGGGCUGGGGAGGCAGCUCA
Chinchilla lanigera (long-tailed chinchilla) is the source of this 5468-nucleotide long non-coding RNA. Ensembl annotates it as chromosome unknown open reading frame, human C9orf50. The record is from Ensembl. Lineage: Eukaryota; Metazoa; Chordata; Mammalia; Rodentia; Chinchillidae.